RNAcentral lists this transfer RNA (59 nucleotides) under Eurythenes magellanicus. Its description in RNAcentral is "tRNA-Leu". Lineage: Eukaryota; Metazoa; Arthropoda; Malacostraca; Amphipoda; Lysianassidae. The record is from RNAcentral.
ACUAAAGUGACAGAUUAAUGUGAUAGCUUUAAAAUCUAUUUAUGGGUAACCCUUUGGAU